UACAGAGGUCUCAAGCGUUGUUCGGCUUCAUUGGGCGUAAAGGGUGUGUAGGUGGCGCCGUAAGUCGGGUGUGAAAUUUCGGAGCUUAACUCCGAAACUGCAUUCGAUACUGCGGUGCUUGAGGACUGGAGAGGAGACUGGAAUUCAUGGUGUAGCAGUGAAAUGCGUAGAGAUCAUGAGGAAGACCAGUGGCGAAGGCGGCCUUCUGGACAGUGACUGACGCUGAGACGCGAAAGCGUGGGGAGCAAACAGG
This 253-nucleotide ribosomal RNA is filed under the name uncultured bacterium. RNAcentral describes it as "partial 16S ribosomal RNA". It matches the Rfam family "Bacterial small subunit ribosomal RNA", at positions 524 to 776 of the family's 1533-position model. The record is from RNAcentral.